UGCGUCUCGGAUAGUUAAUGCAUCCUUCUGCAGUGACACUUAUUGGAAGCCUUAGAUAACCGCCAGAAAUGGUACGGUUCCCGCGACUCUAAAGAAGUAGGAUCCUAAGGGUUAGUGGUACUGCCUCGACUUAAUUUAUUUAAGCACGCGGUGCUGCGACACUAUCAAAUUGCGGGAAGUCCCUUAGAGCCGGCAGUACCGCUCCCUCGUCGAAAUGAUGGGGGCAGCACCGGGUUAAUGACCUCGGGUAUGGUAACAAUCUCGCCGGAUUGGGUUACCUGCAGCCAAGUCCUCCGCGGAGGGGUGGUCGUUCACGGGCGGCCGUCUUUCGUGGUAGGAUGCAGUUCACAGGCCAAAUGGUAGUGGGUGGUCCCCUUUUGGUAAGGGCGAUUGCUUAAGAUAUGGUCGGGCCCCCAGGGAAAUCCUGGGGGGUGAGUUCACAAAAGAAUAAAGUAACAAGAACAACAAAACGUUCCGUAGGUGAACCUGCGGAAGGAUCAUUA
Molecule: ribosomal RNA, 503 nt
Filed under: Chaetothyriales sp. CR08/2-1
Lineage: Eukaryota; Fungi; Ascomycota; Eurotiomycetes; Chaetothyriales
Description: partial 18S ribosomal RNA
Rfam family: Group I catalytic intron (bases 104-430)
About the family: Group I catalytic introns are large self-splicing ribozymes. They catalyse their own excision from mRNA, tRNA and rRNA precursors in a wide range of organisms. The core secondary structure consists of 9 paired regions (P1-P9).
Source: RNAcentral